RNAcentral lists this unclassified non-coding RNA (21 nucleotides) under Mus musculus (house mouse). Its description in RNAcentral is "oocyte_clustered_small_RNA12372". Lineage: Eukaryota; Metazoa; Chordata; Mammalia; Rodentia; Muridae. The record is from RNAcentral.
UCGAACCAGGGUCUGCGUCUC